RNAcentral lists this ribosomal RNA (571 nucleotides) under Geotrichum sp. Its description in RNAcentral is "partial large subunit ribosomal RNA". It matches the Rfam family "Eukaryotic large subunit ribosomal RNA", at positions 1 to 671 of the family's 3401-position model. The record is from RNAcentral. Lineage: Eukaryota; Fungi; Ascomycota; Dipodascomycetes; Dipodascales; Dipodascaceae.
CUCCCGCUGGCAGGCCCGGUUGCCUCACACACACCACCGAGCGGCAAAGCUCAAAUUUGAAAUCGGCCACCAGGUCGAGAAGAAAAUUGUAGAUUGUAUCUUGAGAGCGGAUUAAAGUUUGUUGGAACACAGCGCCUUAGAGGGUGACAGCCCCGUAAAAUCUAUUCUCAUUGUAAGAUACUUUCGAAGAGUCGAGUUGUUUGGGAAUGCAGCUCUAAGUGGGAGGUAAAUUCCUUCUAAAGCUAAAUAUUGACGAGAGACCGAUAGCGAACAAGUACUGUGAAGGAAAGAUGAAAAGCACUUUGAAAAGAGAGUGAAAAAGUACGUGAAAUUGUUAAAAGGGAAGGGUAUUGAAUCAGACUUGGUGCUGUUGUUCAACUGUGUUUCGGCAUAGUGUACUCAGCAGUACUAGGCCAAGGUGGGGUGUUUGGGAGUGAAAAAGAAGUAGGAAGGUAACUCUUCGGAGUGUUAUAGCCUACUUUCAUAGCUCCUCAGGCGCCUCAGGACUGCGCUUCGGCAAGGACCUUGGCAUAAUGAUUCUAUACCGCCCGUCUUGAAACACGGACCAAAA